GUCUACAUCCAUACCAUCCUGAACUCAUUCAAUCUCUUCUGAUCUUAGAAGCUAAGUAGGGUCUGGCCUGGUUAGUACCUAGAUGGAAGAGAGGAUAUUUGCUAAAACUGGUGAGUUAGAUA
This 122-nucleotide ribosomal RNA is filed under the name Nannospalax galili (Upper Galilee mountains blind mole rat). The record is from RNAcentral. Lineage: Eukaryota; Metazoa; Chordata; Mammalia; Rodentia; Spalacidae.